CCAAUAGCGUAUAUUAAAGUUGUUGCAGUUAAAAAGCUCGUAGUUGAAUUUCGGGAUCAAUAUGCUGGUCGUGCCUUUGGUACGUACUGGUAUUAUUGGUUUCUCCUUUCUGAUGAAUCACGAUGUCAUUAAUUUGGUGUCAUGGGGAAUUAGGACUGUUACUUUGAAAAAAUUAGAGUGUUUAAAGCAGGCUUACGCUUGAAUACAUUAGCAUGGAAUAAUGAAAUAGGACGUUUAAUUCUAUUUUGUUGGUUUCUAGGAUUGACGUAAUGAUUAAUAGGGAUAGUUGGGGGCAUUAGUAUUCAAUUGUCAGAGGUGAAAUUCUUGGAUUUAUUGAAGACUAACUACUGCGAAAGCAUUUGCCAAGGAUGUUUUCAUUAAUCAAGAACGAAAGUUAGGGGAUCGAAGACGAUCAGAUACCGUCGUAGUCUUAACCAUAAACUAUGCCGACUAGGGAUCGGAUGAUGUUAAUUUUUUAAUGACUCAUUCGGCGCCUUACG
This 500-nucleotide ribosomal RNA is filed under the name uncultured Glomeromycotina. RNAcentral describes it as "partial small subunit ribosomal RNA". It matches the Rfam family "Eukaryotic small subunit ribosomal RNA", at positions 591 to 1092 of the family's 1831-position model. The record is from RNAcentral. Lineage: Eukaryota; Fungi; Glomeromycota.